AUGCCUCUCGCCUCGAUUCGUCCUCGACUGGUGCCUCGCCUCCUCUCGCUUCGGUGUGCUGAUCGGCUGCCUUCUUCGGUUUGUGCUUCUGGUCGAUCUGUUCCAAGUCGCUCCGAAUAUAUUCCUGGUGCUACUUCUGGCGGUGGAUCUUCUAGUCGAUCUGUUCUAAGUGCCGCUCAAUAUCCUGGCAUGAGAUUCGACGUGGGAAGCAUACUAUUUAUUUAUACAACCACGGUCCAUUGGCUGGAGUCGAGGAAAUUCUCAAGCAUAAAACGUCAUCUUCUUACUCAACAUAUAAUUUUAAAGAUGAAGUCGAAGUGGCACGGAUGGCAGCAAUCAACAAGGAAAUUAAACGUGUGUUGA
Molecule: ribosomal RNA, 363 nt
Filed under: Triticum aestivum (bread wheat)
Lineage: Eukaryota; Viridiplantae; Streptophyta; Magnoliopsida; Poales; Poaceae
Description: partial small subunit ribosomal RNA
Source: RNAcentral